GAUGAACGCUGGCGGCGUGCCUAAUACAUGCAAGUCGAGCGAACAGAUGAGGAGCUUGCUCCUCUGACGUUAGCGGCGGACGGGUGAGUAACACGUGGAUAACCUACCUAUAAGACUGGGAUAACUUCGGGAAACCGGAGCUAAUACCGGAUAAUAUAUUGAACCGCAUGGUUCAAUAGUGAAAGACGGUUUUGCUGUCACUUAUAGAUGGAUCCGCGCCGCAUUAGCUAGUUGGUAAGGUAACGGCUUACCAAGGCAACGAUGCGUAGCCGACCUGAGAGGGUGAUCGGCCACACUGGAACGGAGACACGGUCCAGACUCCUACGGGAGGCAGCAGUAGGGAAUCUUCCGCAAUGGGCGAAAGCCUGACGGAGCAACGCCGCGUGAGUGAUGAAGGUCUUCGGAUCGUAAAACUCUGUUAUUAGGGAAGAACAAAUGUGUAAGUAACUAUGCACGUAUUGACGGUACCUAAUCAGAAAGCCACGGCUAACUACGUG
Molecule: ribosomal RNA, 497 nt
Filed under: uncultured bacterium
Lineage: Bacteria
Description: partial 16S ribosomal RNA
Rfam family: Bacterial small subunit ribosomal RNA
Source: RNAcentral